Molecule: unclassified non-coding RNA, 406 nt
Filed under: soil metagenome
Description: partial contains 5.8S ribosomal RNA, internal transcribed spacer 2, and large subunit ribosomal RNA
Rfam family: 5.8S ribosomal RNA (bases 1-121)
Source: RNAcentral
GAUGAAGAACGUAGCGAAAUGCGAUAAGUAAUGUGAAUUGCAGAAUUCAGUGAAUCAUCGAAUCUUUGAACGCACCUUGCGCCCUUUGGCCAUUCCGAAGGGCAUGCCUGUUUGAGUAUCAUGAACACCUCAACUCUUCAUGGUUUUCCGUGAUGAGCUUGGACUUUGGGGGUCUUGCUGGCCUAUGGUCAGCUCCUCUAAAAUAAAUCAGCUUGCCAGUGUUUGGUGGGUAUCACAGGUGUGAUAACUAUCUACGCUUGUGGUUUUCCACCAGGUAACCUUCAGCAGUGGAGGUUCGCUGGAGCUCACAGAUGUGUCUCUCCUCAGUGAGGACAGCUCUUUGAAUGUUUGAUCUCAAAUCAGGUAGGACUACCCGCUGAACUUAAGCAUAUCAAUAUGCGGAGGA